This 29-nucleotide non-coding RNA is filed under the name Mus musculus (house mouse). Lineage: Eukaryota; Metazoa; Chordata; Mammalia; Rodentia; Muridae. The record is from RNAcentral.
UGCCAUGGGUUGCGAGGCUAAGCACUGCA